RNAcentral lists this antisense RNA (187 nucleotides) under Oscillatoriales cyanobacterium USR001. Its description in RNAcentral is "Antisense RNA which regulates isiA expression". It matches the Rfam family "Antisense RNA which regulates isiA expression". Lineage: Bacteria; Bacillati; Cyanobacteriota; Cyanophyceae; Oscillatoriales. The record is from Rfam by way of RNAcentral.
GAUAGCCAAAAAUCACCGCUGGGUUCAAAGUCGGGUUAGUAAUUACCCGUACAGCGCCACCACCGGGAGCCCAAGUAUCAUACAAACCACCAAAAGCCAUCGCCUUAGCCACUAACAAAAGAGCACCAAAACCCAAAAUAAUCAGGUGGUAGCCCAAAAUAUUAGUCAUCUGGUUCUUGUCUUUCCA